GGCGCUGUGAUGGCCACCCAGACUGUCCUGACUCCAGUGAUGAGCUCAGCUGUGACACCGACACAGAAACUGACAAGAUAUUCCAGGAGGAGAAUGCCACAACCUCAAUGUCUUCUAUGAUUGUGGAGAAAGAGACCUCUUUCAGAAAUGUCACAGUUGCUUCUGCUGGGCACCCAUCCCGAAACCCAAAUGCCUAUGGGGUUAUCGCAGCUGCUGGGCUGUUGGUGGCUGUGAAGGAGUCGCUGCUGCUGUCAGAAAGGAAAACCUCUUUGAUCUGAGGACAUGGUUCCCACCUGGCCCUGAGUACAGUCAGACUGGAACAAAGCUGCAGUGGAACAUGCAGGUAGCAACUGGCUUCUCAGCUCCGAGACCUGGGCUCUUUUGGCCACAGAGAACUUUGAUUUUUAAACUUCUUCAGAUGUGGUCCUGGAGACUGGAGGUCGUCAGACACUCCCUUUGUAUGUGGUGAGCUUUGCUGGAAAAUCGCCAUAGCCAGGACUGAGGGGCCAGUCCCAGGAUGCUCCCAAGAAAUGGGGCCACCCUGAUCUAAACACUCCUUCUGCUCACAUUGAUGGGCAGCUAUUAAAGUUUCUUCACCCCCUC
Molecule: long non-coding RNA, 603 nt
Filed under: Rattus norvegicus (Norway rat)
Lineage: Eukaryota; Metazoa; Chordata; Mammalia; Rodentia; Muridae
Description: long non-coding RNA NONRATT025641
Source: RNAcentral